This 462-nucleotide ribosomal RNA is filed under the name uncultured ammonia-oxidizing beta proteobacterium. RNAcentral describes it as "bacterial SSU rRNA". It matches the Rfam family "Bacterial small subunit ribosomal RNA", at positions 202 to 647 of the family's 1533-position model. The record is from RNAcentral. Lineage: Bacteria; Pseudomonadati; Pseudomonadota; Betaproteobacteria.
AAGUAGGGGAUCGUAAGACCUUGCGCUUUUGGAGCGGCCGAUGUCUGAUUAGCUAGUUGGUGGGGUAAUGGCCUACCAAGGCUUCGAUCAGUAGCUGGUCUGAGAGGACGGCCAGCCACACUGGGACUGAGACACGGCCCAGACUCCUACGGGAGGCAGCAGUGGGGAAUUUUGGACAAUGGGCGCAAGCCUGAUCCAGCCAUGCCGCGUGAGUGAAGAAGGCCUUCGGGUUGUAAAGCUCUUUCAGCCGGGAAGAAAAGGUUGCGAUUAAUAAUCGCAAUUCAUGACGGUACCGAAAGAAGAAGCACCGGCUAACUACGUGCCAGCAGCCGCGGUAAUACGUAGGGUGCGAGCGUUAAUCGGAAUUACUGGGCGUAAAGCGUGCGCAGGUGGUUUUGUAAGUCAGAUGUGAAAUCCCCGGGCUUAACCUGGGAACUGCGUUUGAAACUACAAAGCUAGAGU